AACGCCAAGAACCUUACCAAGGCUUGACAUGAACCGGAAAGGCGUAGAAAUACGUCCCCCACUUGUGGUCGGUUUACAGGUGGUGCAUGGUUGUCGUCAGCUCGUGUCGUGAGAUGUUGGGUUAAGUCCCGCAACGAGCGCAACCCUCGUUCUAUGUUGCCAGCACGUGAUGGUGGGGACUCAUAGGAGACUGCCGGGGUCAACUCGGAGGAAGGUGGGGAUGACGUCAAAUCAUCAUGCCCCUUAUGUCUUGGGCUUCACGCAUGCUACAAUGGCCGGUACAAAGGGUUGCGAUACUGUGAGGUGGAGCUAAUCCCAAAAAGCCGGUCUCAGUUCGGAUUGGGGUCUGCAACUCGACCCCAUGAAGUCGGAGUCGCUAGUAAUCGCAGAUCAGCAACGCUGCGGUGAAUACGUUCCCGGGCCUUGUACACACCG
RNAcentral lists this ribosomal RNA (435 nucleotides) under uncultured bacterium. RNAcentral's name for it is "bacterial SSU rRNA". It matches the Rfam family "Bacterial small subunit ribosomal RNA", at positions 958 to 1392 of the family's 1533-position model. The record is from RNAcentral.